AGCUAUGGCUGUCGUCAGCUCGUGUCGUGAGAUGUUGGGUUAAGUCCCGCAACGAGCGCAACCCUUGUCAUUAGUUGCUACGAAAGGGCACUCUAAUGAGACUGCCGGUGACAAACCGGAGGAAGGUGGGGAUGACGUCAAGUCCUCAUGGCCCUUAUGGGUAGGGCUUCACACGUCAUACAAUGGUCGGGACANAGGGUNGCCAACCCGCGAGGGGGAGCCAAUCCCANAAACCCGAUCGUAGUCCGGAUCGCAGUCUGCAACUCGACUGCGUGAAGUCGGAAUCGCUAGUAAUCGCGGAUCAGCAUGUCGCGGUAAUACG
RNAcentral lists this ribosomal RNA (322 nucleotides) under uncultured Alcaligenes sp. Its description in RNAcentral is "bacterial SSU rRNA". It matches the Rfam family "Bacterial small subunit ribosomal RNA", at positions 1039 to 1370 of the family's 1533-position model. Lineage: Bacteria; Pseudomonadati; Pseudomonadota; Betaproteobacteria; Burkholderiales; Alcaligenaceae. The record is from RNAcentral.